AAUGAUUGGAACUUCAAAUCCACUUGGAAUUGGCAAGCCUCAGCGUUCAGAAGAGAUACAUAGAGAACAGAAAAGACCGUCGUUCUCAGGAGCAGGUCCGCAGCACUGCUCCGAGACACCAGCAGCUAUCAGAACCCUGGUUUUUGGAUGGGAAUUGAAGAGCAGAGGGAGGAAGGGAAGUCUUUCAAGAAGGAAAGGAUUUCCAUUGUUUCCAGGAAACUGCUAAAAUAUGUGCAUGCUGUUCAUUGCUAAAGUCAACAGAUGGGAUCCCCAAAUGUGAGAGAACAUGAUUCAACAGUGACUCCACAGGAAAAAUGGAUGGCUUACUGCAGAUGGGAAGGAAAAGUAUUGCUGUACCCAGUAGA
Molecule: long non-coding RNA, 365 nt
Organism: Fukomys damarensis (Damara mole-rat)
Lineage: Eukaryota; Metazoa; Chordata; Mammalia; Rodentia; Bathyergidae
Exons: 3
Source: RefSeq, a predicted model, not a curated record